RNAcentral lists this ribosomal RNA (230 nucleotides) under uncultured bacterium. RNAcentral describes it as "partial 16S ribosomal RNA". It matches the Rfam family "Bacterial small subunit ribosomal RNA", at positions 564 to 791 of the family's 1533-position model. The record is from RNAcentral.
AGCGUGCGCAGGCGGUUAUGUAAGACAGAUGUGAAAUACCCCGGGCUCAACCUGGGAACUGCAUUAGUGACUGCAUAGCUGGAGUACGGCAGAGGGGGAGUGGAAUUCCGCGUGUAGCAGUGAAAUGCGUAGAUAUGCGGAGGAACACCGAUGGCGAAGGCAAUCCCCUGGGCCUGUACUGACGCUCAUGCACGAAAGCGUGGGGAGCAAACAGGAUUAGAUACCCUAGU